GGCACCAACAUGGCUGUGAGGUUUCCGCUGGCUCCUCUACAACCGCUCUACCAGCUCCCCUAACGGGAACCUUCCAGCAGGAAAAAAAAGGUUUAUCUUGCCCUACAUUUGCUUGCCUGCAGAUGAGGAGUGUUCACGGCACGGAGGACGGAGGGGAGGGGACGGGAGAGCAGCGCAUUCGUAUCCUGGGACGCUGGGGACCAGCGGCAGCCCUCCAGGACAGAGGAGCCGGCAGAGAGGCACUGCGUUGUUGCAGCACCUCUCCGGGCAUAUGGGAUCCGUACCUCCUCGCUGUUCUGCUCGGCUCCGCAGCGUGGGACAGGAGGCAACCGGCCCGAGGUGUCCGGACGCCGGUGCAGCCACUGCUGCCCUAUGGAGUACAUCUCUGCUUUGGCCUUCCUAGCUUUUGCCCUGCAUGGCCAAGGACAUACUAUAUUACAGCUGCUUGGACAUGUGGUCUAUACCAUUUCCACGAGCUGGCAGAUUCUGAUGCGACUGCCCGAGGCUCGAUACGUGGAGACGCCGGCUGCCGGGGACAGCGGCUGCGUCGUGGCCCUGUGGCUCUGUCUGGUCAGCUCUCCUGCCCACGUGGUGCUCUCUCUCUGACCCCAUGGCUCUGCUCCCAGCUCCCAUCGGGCCUCCCUUGGCACGAGCUGUGUAAGCCAAAACCUGAGGAGUCGUCGCGUGAACAGUCACAAGGUGCCAGCCCCUGAAGAGGAAUGUUUUGCAGGUACUGGCUGACAUUUGCUAGUACGCUGUGAAUGGCCGUGGGUAACAGGAAGGGGUCAGGAGAUGCUAAGAACUGUACUGCCAUCUCCAGCCAGAACCCCCUCUCUUCCCACUGACGAGCCGUCCUGCCCUGCAAGGUCACCAAUCUGCCAACGCUUGAAAGUCACACCAGGGAAGCUGGAGAAUGAAGGCGUUGCUGAUACUACCACACAGGCUUGAGCAAAUGUGGCUGCAAAAAAGGGGCUGAUCAUCUGAAAAGGUUGGGAAACACUGCAAAUCAGAGGAGAUUAGUUAUUAGAUGUUUUUCCCCUUGUGUCAGUGUUGCCAGACUGUGCUGGGGUCCCACCGUCAUCCCCUCGGAGAAAUGGGUUUCCUUUGUAUGGCAAGACCCCGCUCUGGGGCACUUCAGCCUCUCCGAAAGGAACGGUGUCCCCUGCCCAGAGGGUCACCCCAGCCCUCCUGAGGGGUGACAGGGGCUCGGUCACUGCAGCUUCUUGGAAGAGGCUUCUUAGGAACUGCUGUCCCAGCGCGGGGAGAAGCCAGGGGUUUCCAGGCUUUGCCUCUCUGCAAUGAAUGAGCCUUGCAGGGCAGGGCGAGCACCUGGCCCCACAGCCAGCUGCCGCCCCACACUGGCCACGGCCCCCCGUUCUGGCUGCUGCUCUGGAGGGUGGGGGCUCUGGGGUGUCCUGGGGUGCCUGGUAUGCGGGCACAGAGCUGAAAAGCCAGGAGCCCCCCGGGCACUCCCUCCCGAUAGCAUGCCCCCCUCCUGCACCCCCGGGCAGGGGGGGUCUGGUCCCUGCAGCCAGGUGCCCACACUGGCCUGAGCACAGCUCUCGGCAAGGUCCGGAGCCACCACCACACCCCCCACUCCUGAGCAUCACCCUCCUCCGCUCACACACCUCUUACCCUGCCUGCCCAGCAAAGCAUCUGUUGGACCCAGCUCUGCUCUCUGGAAGGAGGUGUGUGAAUACUGAGCAAUUAAUCAGAUGCUCUGUCUUCUAAAAAAAAAACCCUCCACCACUGUUACUUUACAAACUCAGAAGGCAAGACUGCAAAGAUGUGGUGCUCUUAUGAAAUCAGUGAGCAAUAUGAAUAUGGAGUGUGAAUAUGCAUUCAGUGUGUAUAGGAACACGAAAUUAUACAGGAAAUGGGAACUAUAUCUCCAGAAAAUGUCCUUUACAUGGCAAUGACCAAGCACUUCAGAUAGCUGUGUGGAACAGCAGUUGUCCCUAUGGGCCGAGUAAAAGGCAGUUCUGGAAACACUCCCCUCUGCAUCAGAGAUAAUGCCCUUCAGAAAUGCCUCUCCCAUUACUGAGACACUGCCCUGCCAUCGCAGUCUCCCCACUCAGCCUCUCCACUUGCAGAGGUCUCUAUGAGUUUCUGCAGCUCAGUGUGAGUUCUGCAUUGGCAAUAGCAGACACCUUAAUGAAAAGCAUCAUCCCAUCAGCAGCAGCUCCAGCCUGCUCUCAGCAGUCCUCCUGAUUAGCCCGCACCGGAGCUGUCGCUUGGCGCUGACCUGAAAAUCUGCUUACCUGAUUUCUGGGUAGGAGGGAGCUCAGGGCUGCUGGCGUCUGAAACGCGAACACUCAGCACAAAAACCCUCUGCUCAGCUUAAUGCCUUGCUACCCUUGCGCAGCCCCAGGCGGGUCGGCCGUCGAGGUGCUGGGAGCAGGCGGAGGUUUGCCCACGUUUCAGACUGCUGGUG
This is a non-coding RNA of Phalacrocorax carbo (great cormorant), 2434 nucleotides long. The record is from RefSeq and is a predicted model, not a curated record. Lineage: Eukaryota; Metazoa; Chordata; Aves; Suliformes; Phalacrocoracidae.